UACAGAGGGUGCGAGCGUUAAUCGGAAUUACUGGGCGUAAAGCGCACGUAGUCGGCUUUGCAAGUCGGGUGUGAAAUCCCCGGGCUCAACCUGGGAACUGCAUCCGAGACUGCAUUGCUAGAGUAUGGGAGAGGGAAGCGGAAUUUCUGGUGUAGCAGUGAAAUGCGUAGAUAUCAGGAGGAACACCGGUGGCGAAGGCGGCUUCCUGGACACUAACUGACGCUGAGACGCGAAAGCGUGGGGAGCAAACAGG
Molecule: ribosomal RNA, 253 nt
Filed under: uncultured bacterium
Lineage: Bacteria
Description: partial 16S ribosomal RNA
Rfam family: Bacterial small subunit ribosomal RNA
Source: RNAcentral